This 1504-nucleotide long non-coding RNA is filed under the name Mytilus galloprovincialis (Mediterranean mussel). Lineage: Eukaryota; Metazoa; Mollusca; Bivalvia; Mytilida; Mytilidae. The record is from RNAcentral.
AUUUAAUCAUAAAACUGGUGGUUCCUUAUCACAGAUAUUAUUACAAUAAAUCAUUCUUAACAUGUUACCAACAGCCAAUCAUGAUUCUCUGAUAAAACUGAAGCAAAGUGAAAAUGCAGUGUAGCCUGAUUCAACUAAUCAUGAUUCUCUGUUUAAACUAAGGCAGAGUGAAAAUGCAGUGUAGCCUGAUAACUAAGCAAAUUGCAGUGUAGCCACAACUAAUCAUGUGUUCUCUGUUUAAACUAAGGCAGAGUAUUACAAUGCAGUGUAGCCUGAUUCAACUAAUCAUGAUUCUCUGUUUAAACUGAGGCAGAGUGCGAAUGUUAUGUAGCACCAUAGUUCUUGGUUUAAAAUGAAACAGUUUGUCAUUGGCUGUCUUGUUUAUUUUGGUUUUUCUGAUUUUUUUCUUUUCCUUUCCAAUAAUCAGCUGUUUUAAAAAAGAGACACAGGCGUUUGAUGGCUAAAGGCAGUAUAAGAAUCUAAAAUGAUGUAUAUUGUGUGCCACACUGGUCAAAUAGGUUCACAUGCUAAACAUCUGAUAACAAUCAGUUGAAAUCUACUGCAAGAAAAAUUCUUGCCAUAUAAUAAAGUCUGUUAUACUUGAUAACUAAAAUGAGGCAUAUAAUUAAAAUACUAUAGUCAAUGUCAUUUGAACCUGUCCUAAGUCAGGAACCUGAUGUUCAGUGGUUGUGGUUUGUUGAUGUGGUUCAUAAGUGUUUAAUGUUUCUCGUUUUAUAGAUUGAUGAGACUGUUGGUUUUCCUGUUUGAAUGGUUUUACAGUAAUUAAUUUUGGGGCCCUUAAUAGCUUGCUGUGUAAGCCAAGGCUAUGUGUUGAAGGCUGUACCUUGACCUAUAAUUAAUUUUACAAAUUGUGACUGUGAUGGAGAGUUGUCUCAUUCACACUCAUACCACAUCUUUUUAUAUCUAUGUAUAUUAAACAUUAUUAUAAGUUUUUCAUAUCUUAGAACAGUAUUUUAGAGCAGUACAAUUUCAAGUACAAUUUCACAUGAAACAGAUUGUUUUGUUUUCUCCCUUAUUCAUAAUUCUUAAUUUUUGGUAUCCAGUUAUGGGAAAUAAUUUUAUAUAAACAUUUGCAUUUAAACAUUCAGUGGAAGGAUUCCUUUGCAAAUCAUAUAAUAAACAGCUACAGUAAUGAACACAUUAAGAAUACACAUAACAAUAUUCCAAUAGUGAUACAACAGCUAUAUAUAUAUGUAUAGCUACUUUUGUAGGAGAGCAUUGUUUUCUUGUGUUGGGGCUCCAUCCAUUACCAGUGGCGGAUCCAGAACUUUUCCUAUGGGGGGGGGGCCCGCUCCAGUCAUGCUUCAAUAAUUCCCUAUAUAAUCAACCAAAUUUUUCCCACGAAAGGGGGAGCCCGUGCCCCCCUGGAUCCGCCUAUGAUUACAGCACACUUAAUCCUGCUUAAACGUGGUUAGAAUCAGUAGUAUAAAACUAGUAACAGUAUAAUUAACCAGCAAAUAAAACAAAACAAAAUACUCAUUUG